AUUGAACGCUGGUGGCAGGCCUAACACAUGCAAGUCGAGCGGAGAGGCUGACGGGUGAGUAAUGCCUAGGAAUCUGACUGAUAGUGGGGGAUACCGUCCGGAACCGGGCGCUAAUACCGCAUACUAUCAGAUGAGCCUAUGUCGGAUUAGCUAGUUGGUGGGGUAAAGGCCUACCAAGGCGACGAUCCGUAACUGGUCUGAGAGUAUGAUCAGUCACACUGGAACUGAGACACGGUCCAGACUCCUACGGGAGGCAGCAGAGGGGAAUAUUGGACAAUGGGCGAAAGCCUGAUCCAGCAAGGCCGCGUGUGUGAAGAAGGUCUGCGGAUUGAAAAGCACUUUAAGUUGGGAGGCGUUACCAACAGAAUAAGCACCGGCUAACUUCGUGCCAGCAGCCGCGGUAAUUC
This 407-nucleotide ribosomal RNA is filed under the name uncultured bacterium. RNAcentral describes it as "partial 16S ribosomal RNA". It matches the Rfam family "Bacterial small subunit ribosomal RNA", at positions 30 to 526 of the family's 1533-position model. The record is from RNAcentral.